GUGCCAGCCGCCGCGGUAAUACGUAGGGGGCGAGCGUUGUCCGGAAUUACUGGGCGUAAAGGGCGAGUAGGCGGUUUAAUAAGUCAGAUGUGAAAUACCAGGGCUUAACCCUGGGGCUGCAUUUGAAACUAUUAGACUUGAGUGCAGGAGAGGAAAGUGGAAUUCCCAGUGUAGCGGUGAAAUGCGUAGAUAUUGGGAGGAACACCAGUGGCGAAGGCGACUUUCUGGACUGUAACUGACGCUGAGGCGCGAAAGCGUGGGGAGCAAACAGGAUUAGAUACCCUGGUAGUCCACGCCGUAAACGAUGAGUGCUAGGUGUAGAGGGUAUCGACCCCUUCUGUGCCGGAGUUAACACAAUAAGCACUCCGCCUGGGGAGUACGGUCGCAAGACUGAAACUCAAAGGAAUUGACGGGGGCCCGCACAAGCAGCGGAGCAUGUGGUUUAAUUCGACGCAACGCGAAGAACCUUACCAGGACUUGACAUCCCUCGCUAUCUGCGGAAACGUGGAGUUCCCUUCGGGGACGAGGAGACAGGUGGUGCACGGUUGUCGUCAGCUCGUGUCGUGAGAUGUUGGGUUAAGUCCCGCAACGAGCGCAACCCUUAUCCUUAGUUGCCAGCGUAAAGACGGGCACUCUAGGGAGACUGCCGGUGACAAACCGGAGGAAGGUGGGGAUGACGUCAAAUCAUCAUGCCCCUUAUGUUCUGGGCUACACACGUGCUACAAUGGGCUGUACAGAGGGAAGCGAGACCGCGAGGUGGAGCGAAUCCCAUAAAAACAGCUCUCAGUUCAGAUCGCAGGCUGCAACUCGCCUGCGUGAAGAUGGAGUUGCUAGUAAUCGCCGGUCAGCAUACGGCGGUGAAUGCGUUCCCGGGCCUUGUACACACCGCCCGUCACACCACGAGAGUUGACAACACCCGACGUCGGUGCUGAGCCGCCUAAGGUGGGGUUGAUGAUUGGGGUGAAGUCGUAACAAGGUAACC
This 982-nucleotide ribosomal RNA is filed under the name uncultured bacterium. Its description in RNAcentral is "bacterial SSU rRNA". It matches the Rfam family "Bacterial small subunit ribosomal RNA", at positions 505 to 1501 of the family's 1533-position model. The record is from RNAcentral.